RNAcentral lists this non-coding RNA (21 nucleotides) under Danio rerio (zebrafish). Its record names the gene dre-miR-194a. Lineage: Eukaryota; Metazoa; Chordata; Actinopteri; Cypriniformes; Danionidae. RNAcentral also lists the same sequence under 7 other names. The record is from miRBase by way of RNAcentral.
UGUAACAGCAACUCCAUGUGG